AUCUGUCCUAACUCACCGGGAAAGUCCAUGUCGGUGUCCGCAUUGCUCGCACCAUCCGCCCGCCUCGGCCGGUUAAUUGGAAACGAGGCUCUUUUGAGGAUCCGCGACACUUAUCCGUCGGCCAAUUUACAGAGAACUUUCAACGACCCCGUCUGCUGCUGUCGCCGCCAGACUAUAACACUCGGUCGGUGAAGCAAGGAAAUGUCUGGCCAACGAGAAGAAACAGUCUACGUACGUCCGCGCGAGUCCCAGAGUACGAAAACAAGAUGGUCGUGGAUGAAAAUGUUCCUCUUCAUCAAAGCUAUCGGUUGGAAUCUGAAGCGCAGAGAACACUUGUUCUGCUUCUUCAUCCUCGUCAGUAACUACAGGGGGAGAUUUUGAAAGGUUUGAUACCAGUUGUCAAGUCUCUCUUGUUGCAAUCGACCAUGAACCUUUCUUUUGUUUUGCUUUCAUUCCUGCCUGUAAUGUUGAUGGUUUUCCAUGUUGAUGAGAUGUUCUUUCCUUUGUUCUCCUUUUUGACGGCAGCAAUUUGUCUCUGAAGGAAGUCUUAGUUAGUGUCAACAUAUGCUUUGUCUAGGUUUUCCUUAGCGGAUUGAAGUUUCUCCCUUGUUCGUUGGGUGUUGAUUACAGGUGUUGUUCUCUUCAGAAGCCCUCUGUAAAUCACCUCUUUCAUCUGAAGCCCUCUGAUCCUCACUUGCAAGAAGCUUUCCGUCUCUGAAACAUAGAAAUGCUUACAUUUAUUUACCUUGGCGACGACAUCCCUUCUUACAACUCUCUUGCACAAGCGCGGCUCAGUGAAGAGAAGUAUGCGCAAGGAUCCCAGUGUACGAAAAAUUGUCACCGUUCCACGACAGUCCGAAUACGACAUGAUCUACUUCGCACAUGCCAAUUUCCGCCACUGGCUGGCGCUGAUACAUAGAUAUGUAGUCCUUUGCUUGUAUUUAUUCGAUAAAAUACGCUCUUCUUAAAACAAUAUAAUGUUACUGCAAUUUGUUCGAUAUUUUUCGAUCCACCAGCUGAAGUUGAUCCUGUAUGUUGAGUGUUCCGAAUCAUCCUUGGCAUCCAUAUGCAAUGCACAAAUUGGAUUAGCUGUGCUUCCUAGAAGUUUGUCAAAUGUCACACGUUUUCUUUUCUCAAGUUCUCAUACAACACACAAACUGUGACCAGAAUUCUUCCCAUCUCCCGGCUGACUAUUGGCAAACUAUGGCCGAGAUUCAAUUCCUGUGUACACAUAAUGAGAGCUCUAUUGAACGUCGAUGGACCCGGGCACCAAAUAACAAACAAAACACUAUUUGAUAACCCGGGCCCAAGCAUUUAUCUCCAACCCGCGGCAAACAUGGCAAUGAUUGACUCGCAUCCUUCGAAUGACCAAUCCAAAGCAGCAAUAUGCCCCAAAAUAACAAUAAAAACGGACUUUUAAUUAUUACUACAUGCAUUUCUGCUUUAUAUGUUGUAUAUCAACUAUGAAUGCAUCAACUGGAGUUCAACAAAUGUCCAUUCAAAGUCAUUAAUGCUCCUACAAUAUUAAAUAUACUUGGAAGAGUAGGUAGUAGGUCGCUUUUUGUAAAUUGCAUUGCUUCUUUGCAUGUCUGCUGAGAUUAUUCUGUCAGUCAAGUUUACACAACAUGCAAUAAAGUCUAAUGGCUAAG
Phycodurus eques (leafy seadragon) is the source of this 1649-nucleotide RNA transcript. It is a transcript of the gene named UFM1-specific peptidase 1 (non-functional), with no coding region annotated. The transcript is spliced from 3 exons. Lineage: Eukaryota; Metazoa; Chordata; Actinopteri; Syngnathiformes; Syngnathidae. The record is from RefSeq and is a predicted model, not a curated record.